This is a long non-coding RNA of Tigriopus californicus, 2855 nucleotides long. RefSeq lists it as uncharacterized. NCBI's taxonomy places the organism in Eukaryota, Metazoa, Arthropoda, Copepoda, Harpacticoida, Harpacticidae. The transcript has 2 exons. The record is from RefSeq and is a predicted model, not a curated record.
UUUGAAAAACACACCCACGUCUUGAAAUAACGGUAUCAAGUCCCUAUGGGAGCCACUCCCAAGUCCCCAAAUAAAUAACGGUCUGAGAUCUCAUUUGAAAAACACACCCACGUCCCGAAAUGACAAAAUAACGAAAAAAUCUUGACACAUUCGAGUUAUGUCAAAGUAUGUAAGUAUAAUCUAUUUCAACGUAUUUCGUAUCAUAAGAUACAAAUCAUGAUUGGAAAUAGAUUUUUAAUAAACGUUGUUUUCACAUUUGCUUGCGAAAGCUUUGUUUAUUGUUACAGGCAAGUUACUUUUGUGUCAAAGGCAUUGUCGAGAUUUAUAACCCCAUUGCCAUGUCUCCUAGGAGUUUUCUCUAAUUUGCUUGACACAUUUACAAUAAGUAUUCUACUUUUCUCCCUCUUCUCCAUUUCUUGCAUCAUGUUUUGGCUUGAUCUAUACCCUUUACUUUAGGUACAAUAUAUGAACUUUAAUGUAUUGGGUGGAUCCGAUUGUUAAUAAUAAUAAUGAUGACCAGAACCCAGUUCAAUCAGUAAGCUCUGACAAGUAUCUGGGGAUAAUUGACCAAGAAAAUGACAAAUUUUAGGAGCCCAUCCAAUCGAAGGUGAUUCCGGCUUUCCUAGCUUGAAGCUGACUUUACCGAAAAUUCUAAUCCAGGGACGCGUUUACCCUGAAAACACUUUUCAAAUCCACAGUCCAAUCAAAGCUCGAAUGUGCUUCCUCUAUAUGGGCCCUAAUCACCGCAGAGGAAUUAUCCAUUGAAGGCAUGUCUAAUUUGAGUUCUUGGGAAAGAUUUCAGACCUCGGGAUUAUAAAGUAUAAAGUGUCCAGAGUAGGUACGAACGUUAUCAAAUGCUUUAUGUCUUCAAAUGUCUUCAAUGUUAAUCUUCAGUGUUAAUUUAAUUUACGUGUACUUGGCCUUAAUUAUUGGCAAUGUUUCCUGGAAAUACUCUUUAAGUCUCCAAACUAGUGCGCUCCUUUAUUAAAAGGUGUUUUUUGUUUGAAAUUUGAAGAUAUUCAUUUGGAUCAAAGUUCAUUAUUGUUAGUGAAUGGUGAGUGGACUUUGCUGAAUUCCUUGUUGAAGUCAAUUUUUGCCACGGAUACAGUCGGGUAAGUAAAGUUUGAUGAAGUAGAUUUUAAAAUUGAUUUACAAAUUCAUCCCAAUCUAGGUAAAUGAAGAGACAUUGGGCUGCGUAUUUUCCUACGGAUGACACGUUUGCCAGGAUUGAUAGUAAAGAAAAUACGGAGAAGAUAAUACGAUUAGGUUCCAAAGAAAUCCAGGUCGCUUUUGACGGCGUAUGGUUCACCGGAGAAAUUGUGGAAGGAUUUGAUUCUGCGGUUGCUUGUGAUAAGUUCCUUAACGAGCCAGUUCCUGAUCUUUUGGGAGGUCCUCCAACUCCAAGAAAGCGGAAAAGCUUGGAGAAUCAAUCUGAAGUAGACGAAUCAACCAUUAUUAUUAGCCCAACUCUCGACAAAUAAAUUGACAUGUGUACAAGCCCAGGUAUUUUGUUUGGAACAUUUUGUUUCUUAUAAUGGAGUUACUUAUUAAUAUGCUGCUCUUCUCUGCCAUCCUUGCCCAUUUGACCAUCCAUCUCUGGACCAUAAAGCAAAGAGAAAUUUGGAUAGAGAGUCGUUUCUCUUCAAAGGUAAGUAGCAAACAAAAAUUGGAUGUAUUCAGCCAAAACAAUAUGUCCUUAAUUUCCCAAGAUGAACAAUCGGCCAUGGGACAAAGAAUUGAAAAUCAACCUCACAUCCUACAUGAACAUGAGGCGGACAAUUUUUCCAAGAUGAUAAGUGGUAAAUAUCAAAUAGUUUUGAUAGUAUACUGAACACGAUCAGCUUCCUCUUCGAUUUAAUUUAACCCAAUAAGCAGAUUUGGUGCCAGUUCCAUCGACUUCGUCAGGAAAACGAGCGUACCGCCCUUGGAAAGGCAACUAUUUUCUAGUCUCAUAAUUGCCAAUAGUUUCAAAUUCGACCUCUUUCUAACUAUCUAGCUCUCAUUCAACGUAGCGAAGAAUCGUCUUCGUCAACAGAGAAAAAUAUUCAGGUUACUUCUCCCGAAGCAAACAAAGAUCAGGAAGGUACGUGCUUCAAUUGAUGUACGAGUUUUCAUAAACAAAAUUCCGUUUCGAUUUACGUUGUAGGAAACGAGGAUGAACCAGUUCCGUCGACUUUAUCAGGUAAACGAGGGUACCGCCCUUGGAAAAGUGUGUUCACAUCAAUCAUUUUCGUAGUUCAUAAGACUGCUAAUUGCUCGAAUAAUUUUAGUUAAAAUUCCUCGCCAAAAAAGGGCUCGCUCAUUUCCCAUGUUUUUUUCUGAAUUGGACGAAUUUGAUAACUCGUCAAACUAUGAUGGUACGUUUUUCAGCCGCUGGUUUUCGUUAUUACCAACAAAAAAUGUAGAUAUUACAAAAAAACAUAUUUCUAUUUCAAUCUGCAUUUUCGAAAACCAAGAUGAACCAGCUCCAUCGACUUCAUCUGGAAAACGAGGACGAGCCCCUUUCAAAGAUGAUCGUUUGGUCAAAAUUCGACUGCAAGAAGUUGCCACAGCAUCCGAGGAACAUAUUCCUGGGACUUCAUCUGAUAUGGACGAGUCUGACGACUCUUCAAUUCAGGAAGGCACACAUAUUGCACCCCGCUUUCUUUAGAGUCGAGCAUUCUUGAUUGGAAGAAAUGUCUUCAAUAUUUGGUUUCAUAUACCGAAAGUGUAACGUACAUUAACCCACCGCCCAGAACAAGGCAACCUGGUUUCUCAGACACAUAUCUAUCUUGGUUGAUGGGUUCACUCCCAUCCAGCUCUCCAGGCAACGUUGUAAUCAAGCCUUGUGAGAAGAAAGAAGGUGGCCCGAACUA